GAGGGUAUAGCUCAGUGGUAGAGUGAAUGCUCAGCAUGCACAAGGUCCUGGGUUCAUUCCUCAGUACCUCCA
RNAcentral lists this transfer RNA (72 nucleotides) under Camelus bactrianus (Bactrian camel). It matches the Rfam family "tRNA". From Rfam's summary of the family: Transfer RNA (tRNA) molecules are approximately 80 nucleotides in length. Lineage: Eukaryota; Metazoa; Chordata; Mammalia; Artiodactyla; Camelidae. RNAcentral also lists the same sequence under 2 other names. The record is from Rfam by way of RNAcentral.